GUCUUAUAUUCAAAAUAAUGAUAUAAAAUUGCAAAUUUUAAGAUGUAUACAUAAAUAUGCUAAGGCUU
This 68-nucleotide transfer RNA is filed under the name Pantoporia hordonia. RNAcentral describes it as "tRNA-Cys". The record is from RNAcentral. Lineage: Eukaryota; Metazoa; Arthropoda; Insecta; Lepidoptera; Nymphalidae.